UGGGGAAUAUUGCACAAUGGGCGCAAGCCUGAUGCAGCCAUGCCGCGUGUAUGAAGAAGGCCUUCGGGUUGUAAAGUACUUUCAGUCAGGAGGAAGGUGGUAAGGUUAAUAACCUUAUCAAUUGACGUUACCGACAGAAGAAGCACCGGCUAACUCCGUGCCAGCAGCCGCGGUAAUACGGAGGGUGCAAGCGUUAAUCGGAAUUACUGGGCGUAAAGCGCACGCAGGCGGUUGAUUGAGUCAGAUGUGAAAUCCCCGGGCUUAACCCGGGAAUUGCAUCUGAUACUGGUCAGCUAGAGUCUUGUAGAGGGGGGUAGAAUUCCAUGUGUAGCGGUGAAAUGCGUAGAGAUGUGGAGGAAUACCGGUGGCGAAGGCGGCCCCCUGGACAAAGACUGACGCUCAGGUGCGAAAGCGUGGGGAGCAAACAGG
RNAcentral lists this ribosomal RNA (429 nucleotides) under Chloroflexota bacterium. Its description in RNAcentral is "Chloroflexi bacterium partial 16S ribosomal RNA". It matches the Rfam family "Bacterial small subunit ribosomal RNA", at positions 355 to 776 of the family's 1533-position model. The record is from RNAcentral. Lineage: Bacteria; Bacillati; Chloroflexota.